GAUGAACGCUGGCGGCGUGCCUAAUACAUGCAAGUCGAGCGAACAGACGAGGAGCUUGCUCCUCUGACGUUAGCGGCGGACGGGUGAGUAACACGUGGAUAACCUACCUAUAAGACUGGGAUAACUUCGGGAAACCGGAGCUAAUACCGGAUAAUAUAUUGAACCGCAUGGUUCAAUAGUGAAAGACGGUUUUGCUGUCACUUAUAGAUGGAUCCGCGCCGCAUUAGCUAGUUGGUAAGGUAACGGCUUACCAAGGCAACGAUGCGUAGCCGACCUGAGAGGGUGAUCGGCCACACUGGAGCUGAGACACGGUCCAGACUCCUACGGGAGGCAGCAGUAGGGAAUCUUCCGCAAUGGGCGAAAGCCUGACGGAGCAACGCCGCGUGAGUGAUGAAGGUCUUCGGAUCGUAAAACUCUGUUAUUAGGGAAGAACAAAUGUGUAAGUAACUACGCACGUCUUGACGGUACCUAAUCAGAAAGCCACGGCUAACUACGUG
This 497-nucleotide ribosomal RNA is filed under the name uncultured bacterium. Its description in RNAcentral is "partial 16S ribosomal RNA". It matches the Rfam family "Bacterial small subunit ribosomal RNA", at positions 28 to 507 of the family's 1533-position model. The record is from RNAcentral.